RNAcentral lists this ribosomal RNA (441 nucleotides) under bacterium NE2015. RNAcentral describes it as "bacterial SSU rRNA". It matches the Rfam family "Bacterial small subunit ribosomal RNA", at positions 28 to 456 of the family's 1533-position model. The record is from RNAcentral.
GAUGAACGCUGGCGGCGUGCUUAACACAUGCAAGUCGAACGGGGUUUAAGAAGGAAGCUUGCUUUCAUUUUAAACCUAGUGGCGGACGGGUGAGUAACGCGUGAGGAACCUGCCCUUCAGUGGGGAACAACAACUAGAAAUGGUUGCUAAUACCGCAUAAUGUCGGAGAGCCGCAUGACAUUCCGACCAAAGGAUUUAUUCGCUGAAGGAUGGCCUCGCGUCCGAUUAGGCAGUUGGUGAGGUAACGGCCCACCAAACCUACGAUCGGUAGCCGAACUGAGAGGUUGAUCGGCCACAUUGGGACUGAGACACGGCCCAGACUCCUACGGGAGGCAGCAGUGGGGAAUAUUGGGCAAUGGGCGAAAGCCUGACCCAGCAACGCCGCGUGAAGGAUGACGGUCUUCGGAUUGUAAACUUCUUUAAUUGGGGAAGAACAAAAUG